Molecule: ribosomal RNA, 1262 nt
Filed under: Myzus persicae (green peach aphid)
Lineage: Eukaryota; Metazoa; Arthropoda; Insecta; Hemiptera; Aphididae
Description: 16S ribosomal RNA
Source: RNAcentral
UAAAUUAAAAUUAUUAAUAUUUUUAUUUUUUUUUGAUUUUUUAUAAAAGUAAUUUAUUUAUUUAGAGUUUUAGUAUUUAGUAAAAAUUAAUUUAUAGAUUUAUAGUUUAAUAGUAUUGUAAAAGAAUUAAUUAAAUUUUUAAAAGAAUAUUUUUAGUACCUUUUGUAUCAGGGUUGAUUAAAAUUUUUAAUUUUUUUUUAAUUUCUCAAAAUUUAUAGAGUUAAUUUUAUUAUUAAUUUAUUGUGUUAUAAAUAUUUAAAAAAUAAUAUUAGUUUUGAAAUUUAAUUCGUUAUAUUAUAUUUAGUUAUUUAAGAUUUAAAUUUAAUUUAAAAUUUUAAAAGUUAUAUUGAUUUUUUAUAUUAAUAUUUUAAAUUUAAAUUAUUUUAGGGAUAAGCUUGAAAUUUUUAUAUAAUAAUUUAUUUAUUUUAAUAAUUUAUAGGAAUAGAAAUUUUUAUUUAAGUUUGUAAAAAUUUAUUAUUUAUUUAUUUUUAAUUUAUUAUAAAUUUAUUUAUUUUUUAUAUUAAAUUUUAUUAAUUAAUAUUUAAUUAAUAGUAAUAAUGAUUAAAUUAGUAUAAUUUUUAUUUAUAAAUUAUGAAUUCGGCAAAAAUUAUUUUCAUCUGUUUAACAAAAACAUUGUAUUAAGUUUAAUUUAAUAUAGGAUCUGCUCAAUGAUUUAUUAAAUAGCUGCAGUAUUUUGACUGUGCAAAGGUAGCAUAAUAAUUAGUCUUUUAAUUGAGGACUUGUAUGAAAGAUUUGAUGAGAAAUAAACUUUAUUAUUUAUAUAAUUAAAAUUUUAUUUUUAAGUAAAAAAGCUUAAAUUAUUUAAAGGGACGAUAAGACCCUAUAAAACUUUAUAAAUAUUAAUUUUGAUUUUUUUGGAUUUAUAAAUAUUUUAAUUUUAUUAUUUAUUUUAUUGGGGUGAUAAAAAAAAUUAUUAAACUUUUUUUAAAAUUUUACAUUAUUUAAUGAGUAUUUGAAUUAAAAUUUUUAAUUAAAGGAAAAAGUUACUUUAGGGAUAACAGCGUAAUUAAUUUUUUAAGUUCAAAUUUAAAAAUUAGUUUGCGACCUCGAUGUUGAAUUAAGAUUAAUCUUAGGUGCAAAAUUUUAAGUAUUAGGUCUGUUCGACCUUUAAAUUCUUACAUGAUUUGAGUUCAAACCGGUGUAAGCCAGGUUGGUUUCUAUCUUUUAAAAAAUAAAUUAUUUUAGUACGAAAGGAUUAAAUAAUUGAAUUAAAUUUUUAUUAAAUGAAUUAAAUUAAUUUA